GUUAGGAAUAUUGGACAAUGGGCGAAAGCCUGAUCCAGCCAUGCCGCGUGAACGAUGAAGGCCUUCGGGUUGUAAAGUUCUUUAGCCGAUGAUUAUAAUGACUGUAGUCGGAAAAUAAGCCCCGGCUAACUUCGUGCCAGCAGCCGCGGUAAUACGAAGGGGGCGAGCGUUAUUCGGAAUCACUGGGCGUAAAGCGUGCGUAGGCGGGUUUGUAAGUUAGGAGUGAAAGCCCAGGGCUCAACCUUGGAAUUGCUCUUAAAACUGCAAGGCUCGAAUCUCGGAGAGGAUAGCGGAAUUUCCAGUGUAGCAGUGAAAUGCGUAGAUAUUCGAAGGAACACCAGUGGCGUAAGCGGCUAUCUGGACGAGUAUUGACGCUGAGGCACGAAAGCGUGGGGAUCAAACAGGAUUAGAAACCCUGGUAGUCC
This 425-nucleotide ribosomal RNA is filed under the name uncultured bacterium. Its description in RNAcentral is "partial 16S ribosomal RNA". It matches the Rfam family "Bacterial small subunit ribosomal RNA", at positions 354 to 796 of the family's 1533-position model. The record is from RNAcentral.